RNAcentral lists this ribosomal RNA (636 nucleotides) under Amanita chepangiana. RNAcentral's name for it is "LSU rRNA". It matches the Rfam family "Eukaryotic large subunit ribosomal RNA", at positions 43 to 658 of the family's 3401-position model. Lineage: Eukaryota; Fungi; Basidiomycota; Agaricomycetes; Agaricales; Amanitaceae. The record is from RNAcentral.
UCAAUAAGCGGAGGAAAAGAAACUAACAAGGAYUCCCCUAGUAACUGCGAGUGAAGUGGGAAAAGCUCAAAUUUAAAAUCUGGCAGUCUUUGGCUGUCCGAGUUGUAAUCUAGAGAAGUGUGUCCUACACUGGACUGUGUAUAAGUCUUCUGGAAUGAAGCGUCAUAGAGGGUGAGAAUCCCGUCUUUGACACAGACUCCCAGUGUAUUAUGGCAUGCUCUCAAAGAGUCGAGUUGUUUGGGAAUGCAGCUCUAAAUGGGUGGUAACCUCCAUCUAAAGCUAAAUAUUGGCAAGAGACCGAUAGCGAACAAGUACCGUGAGGGAAAGAUGAAAAGAACUUUGGAAAGAGAGUUAAACAGUACGUGAAAUUGUUGAAAGGGAAACGCUUGAAGUCAGUUGCAUUGGCCGGGGAUCAGCCUAGCUCUUUUGCUUGGUGUACUUCCUGGUCGAUGGGCCAACAUGAGUUUUGACUGCCAGAGAAGGGCAGAGGGAAUGUGGCACCUCCGGGUGUGUUAAAGCCUUCUGUCAUAUAUGUCAGUUGGGACUGAGGAAUGCAGCAUGCCGCAAGGCCAGGUCAUCUAGACCAUGUUCAUGCUUUGGAUGUUGGCAUAAUGGCUUUAAUCGACCCGUCUUGAA